UGGGGAAUUUUGCACAAUGGGGGGAACCUUGAUGCAGCGACGCCGCGUGAGGGAUGGAGGCCUUCGGGUUGUGAACCUCUUUCGCUCGUGUGCAAGCCGCUAUUUGGGUAGUGGUGAGUGUAGCGGGUAAAGAAGCGCCGGCUAACUACGUGCCAGCAGCCGCGGUAAUACGUAGGGCGCGAGCGUUGUCCGGAUUUAUUGGGCGUAAAGGGCUUGUAGGCGGUUUGUCGCGCCUGUCGUGUAAUCCUCUGGCUUAACUGGGGGUGUGCGGUGGGUACGGGCAGGCUUGAGUGCGGUAGGGGAGAUUGGAAUUCCUGGUGUAGCGGUGGAAUGCGCAGCUAUCAGGAGGGACACCGGUGGCGGAGGCGGGUCUCUGGGCCGUUACUGACGCUGAGGAGCGAAAGCGUGGGGAGCGAACAGG
Molecule: ribosomal RNA, 421 nt
Filed under: Fusobacteriota bacterium
Lineage: Bacteria; Fusobacteriati; Fusobacteriota
Description: Fusobacteria bacterium partial 16S ribosomal RNA
Rfam family: Bacterial small subunit ribosomal RNA
Source: RNAcentral